GGAGGGGGAAGGGAAACUGGAAGGAAGCUGGAUGGAGAACAGGAUUGAUGGGUUUAACCAACAGAAUGAGGUUCUAAAGGGAAAGAAAGGGAAAUCUAUUGAUCCAAUUUUGGGGUUUAACCUUGAGGGGAGGGUGUCACCAGGAGAACAACAGAGAAAUAAAUUCUGGUCUUAUCAAAUGCAAAUGGAUAUGGAGCAGGCUCUUGAAGAUGAAACUUUAAUAGGGGAAGAGGGAAAAAAGAGAAAUAAAGGGGAGAUGGAAGGUGUACAUUCCUUGAUAUCGGCGGCUGCCAAGAGGCAUGCCGACCGGGCACAAUGAAAAUCUUAAGUUG
This 332-nucleotide long non-coding RNA is filed under the name Gossypium raimondii (Peruvian cotton). Its description in RNAcentral is "long non-coding RNA (GRAI_LNC010778)". Lineage: Eukaryota; Viridiplantae; Streptophyta; Magnoliopsida; Malvales; Malvaceae. The record is from RNAcentral.